This 89-nucleotide transfer RNA is filed under the name Marinoscillum sp. 108. Its description in RNAcentral is "tRNA-Leu". It matches the Rfam family "tRNA". Rfam says of the family: Transfer RNA (tRNA) molecules are approximately 80 nucleotides in length. Their secondary structure includes four short double-helical elements and three loops (D, anti-codon, and T loops). Further hydrogen bonds mediate the characteristic L-shaped molecular structure. tRNAs have two regions of fundamental functional importance: the anti-codon, which is responsible for specific mRNA codon recognition, and the 3' end, to which the tRNAs corresponding amino acid is attached (by aminoacyl-tRNA synthetases). tRNAs cope with the degeneracy of the genetic code in two manners: having more than one tRNA (with a specific anti-codon) for a particular amino acid; and 'wobble' base-pairing, i.e. permitting non-standard base-pairing at the 3rd anti-codon position. Lineage: Bacteria; Pseudomonadati; Bacteroidota; Cytophagia; Cytophagales; Reichenbachiellaceae. The record is from RNAcentral.
GCCCGGAUGGUGGAAUUGGUAGACACGCAGGACUUAAAAUCCUGUGACCCUUAAAGGUCGUGCGGGUUCAAGUCCCGCUCCGGGUACAA